GCAAAAGGGUUACAACUUACAACAACUGUCACCGAUCAAGUUCUACAGUUGGACAUGUUGAUGUUGUUGCCUGCUGUCAGCUGUGGAUAGAAAAAAAUUGAUUCGAGUACUUUUUCAAGUUUUUUUGUCAAAAUCUUUCACUGAAUACGCUUUGGUUGUCAAAAUCUUUCACUGAAUACGCUUUGGUAGUUGGUACUUGGUAGAGAAGAAGAAUUGAAGGGAGAGAAGGGAAAUGGUUUGGGCUGGGCUUGGUGGGCUGGGUAAUAAGGUUGCAUUGUCAGGGGAUCUGUAAGGUUGCAUUGUCAGGCGAUCGACCUUAAUUAAAUGUGUACAAAUUGUCUGACCUUUUAUUCUUUUCUGCUGGUAAAGGUAUGGAAGAGGGAAAUGGAAGUGCAUCUUGGACAACUACCAUGAAAUAUUUGAAAAUAGAAAUGAGGUAUAAUUUGUAUAUUAUUUACAUUUACAAAUUUAUCUUGGAUACCCUUGAAUAUAUGAAAGAUGAAAUUGUACAGGUUGAUUUAAAGGACAAGUGGCGAAAUUUGACAAAAUAGUUGAAUCCACACACGGUUGAUGGGGACCUUUCAAUUCCUGAGGUUUGAAAAAUGCUCCUUUACCAAUAUGCUAACAGCAUGUAUGAGAUGAUAAUUGUUAAAAGUCCCUUACCGUAUUACUCUUUUUGUAGGGGGGGGGGGGGGGGGGGGAAAGACGCUGUUCCUGGCUUUUGAUUGGUUCAGUCUCUGUCCAUGCAGUUGAAGUUUAGCAAGUUCUUAAAAGCGUCUCAGUGGUAUAAACUUGGUAAACAUCAAUAUCGUAUUUUACCUACACACCAUCGGCAGACUCCAAUUUACUCCGACACUCCUGAGUGACAAAUCCCCGGUUGGUAUAAACAUCAAUACCUUUGUUGAGUAAAAUCGUGUAGGCUCUUU
RNAcentral lists this long non-coding RNA (926 nucleotides) under Aquilegia coerulea. RNAcentral describes it as "long non-coding RNA (ACOE_LNC001975)". Lineage: Eukaryota; Viridiplantae; Streptophyta; Magnoliopsida; Ranunculales; Ranunculaceae. The record is from RNAcentral.